Molecule: ribosomal RNA, 569 nt
Filed under: Stigmatopora sp. 'nigra1'
Lineage: Eukaryota; Metazoa; Chordata; Actinopteri; Syngnathiformes; Syngnathidae
Description: partial 16S ribosomal RNA
Rfam family: Bacterial large subunit ribosomal RNA
Source: RNAcentral
CGCCUCUUGCAAAAUAAAAAUAAGAGGUCCUGCCUGCCCUGUGACCCUGUGUUCAACGGCCGCGGUAUUUUGACCGUGCGAAGGUAGCGUAAUCACUUGUCUUUUAAAUAAAGACCUGUAUGAAUGGCAAGACGAGGGCUUGACUGUCUCCUUCCUUUUAUCAAUGAAAUUGAUCUCCCCGUGCAGAAGCGGGGCUAAAACCAUAAGACGAGAAGACCCUAUGGAGCUUCAAAUACUUAAAUAAUCCUUUGCUCAAACCCUGUUUAAACCACGGUAAGCAAUAAGCUAAUUAAUUAACUAUUUUUGGUUGGGGCGACCACGGGGAAAAAAGUAACCCCCGUGAAGAUUGAGGUCACACCUUAAAGCUAAGGACUCCUAUUCUAAGCAGCAAAAUCUUUGAGUUACGAUCCGGCAAAGCCGAUCAACGGACCUAGUUACCCUAGGGAUAACAGCGCAAUCCCCUUUAAGAGUCCUUAUCGACAAGGGGGUUUACGACCUCGAUGUUGGAUCAGGACAUCCUAACGGUGCAGCCGCUGUUAAGGGUUCGUUUGUUCAACGAUUAAAGUCCU